Triticum aestivum (bread wheat) is the source of this 126-nucleotide non-coding RNA. Lineage: Eukaryota; Viridiplantae; Streptophyta; Magnoliopsida; Poales; Poaceae. The record is from Rfam.
GUAGAACUUCCUCCGUCCGAAAAUGCUUGCCCCUCAAAUGGAUGUAUCUAGCAUCAAAUUAGUAUUAGAUACAUCCAUUUGAGAGACAAGUUUGGGACAAGUUUUUUCGGACGGAGGGAGUACUGG